GCAAGAAAAGCAAGCAAGAAAGCAAGCAAGCAAGCAAGCAAGCAAGAAAAGAGGACGUUAGCAACUUCUAAACAUGUUAUGUUGCUCCCACCCACUCUGGCCCCCUCCAGGCACUAGCUUCAGGUCAGGCUGGAUCCAGGACCUCACAGACCUUCAUCACGGUUGUCUGCCUCAUCAACCCAGUGACUGGACAAUAGGAGUGCAAUGGCUACUCCCUGCUUGACUGCAGUGCCUCUUCAGGCAGGGCAGGGCUGGUGACUGUGAUUGACAGCCCCACCGAGCCAGCUUCCCAAGGAGAAGGGUUGAUGUCACCAGAAGACUAGAGGAAAGUAAGCUACCAGGUGAUGUGGAUGUUCAGCCAGGCUUAAGUACCGCUGGUCUAAGACCUUGUUUUUCAUCCCUGAUGGCUCAUGAGAAUCACCUGGGAGCCUUCAAAAUAUCAGGUGAAGACCACCACCCCAAUGUCCACCGCUGAAUGACGGAUAAACAAAACGCGGUCUGUACGGACAACGAAAUGCCACUUGGCCACGAGGGGAAGGGCACUCGGACACGGGUACUGUGAGGCAGAUCCCUGGAAGUCACUGUGCUAAGUGAGCCAAGCCGGGCACAAAGGAGCCCUGUCGUCUGAGGUCUAGAGCGGUCGAAUUCAUAAAGACAGAAAGCAGGGGUCACCAUGGGCUGCCGGAGGGCGGGGUGGGGACUCGGUGUUUAAAGGGUAGAGUUCCAGUUCAGGACGACGAACAUUUCUGGAAGUGGUGGCGGCACGGCCACGUGAAUGUGCUUCUUGCUACCGAACUGCACGCUGGAAAACGGCUAAAACGGUCAACUUUACGUUAUGCACAUUUUUCCAUCGUAAAAAAAUGUGGUGGAAACAUACACGUCACGAUUAAAGUUUAAGAUCAUUCCACAAAACUAGGGCACCUGGGCGGCUCUGUCGGUUAAGCAUCCAACCUCAGUGCAGGUCAUGGGUUCGAGCCCUGCCUGGG
Suricata suricatta (meerkat) is the source of this 986-nucleotide long non-coding RNA. RefSeq lists it as uncharacterized. The record is from RefSeq and is a predicted model, not a curated record. The transcript has 3 exons. Lineage: Eukaryota; Metazoa; Chordata; Mammalia; Carnivora; Herpestidae.